RNAcentral lists this ribosomal RNA (819 nucleotides) under Enterococcus lactis. RNAcentral's name for it is "bacterial SSU rRNA". It matches the Rfam family "Bacterial small subunit ribosomal RNA", at positions 39 to 831 of the family's 1533-position model. Lineage: Bacteria; Bacillati; Bacillota; Bacilli; Lactobacillales; Enterococcaceae. The record is from RNAcentral.
GGGGCGGGGGCUAUACAUGCAGUCGUACGCUUCUUUUUCCACCGGAGCUUGCUCCACCGGAAAAAGAAGAGUGGCGAACGGGUGAGUAACACGUGGGUAACCUGCCCAUCAGAAGGGGAUAACACUUGGAAACAGGUGCUAAUACCGUAUAACAAUCGAAACCGCAUGGUUUUGAUUUGAAAGGCGCUUUCGGGUGUCGCUGAUGGAUGGACCCGCGGUGCAUUAGCUAGUUGGUGAGGUAACGGCUCACCAAGGCCACGAUGCAUAGCCGACCUGAGAGGGUGAUCGGCCACAUUGGGACUGAGACACGGCCCAAACUCCUACGGGAGGCAGCAGUAGGGAAUCUUCGGCAAUGGACGAAAGUCUGACCGAGCAACGCCGCGUGAGUGAAGAAGGUUUUCGGAUCGUAAAACUCUGUUGUUAGAGAAGAACAAGGAUGAGAGUAACUGUUCAUCCCUUGACGGUAUCUAACCAGAAAGCCACGGCUAACUACGUGCCAGCAGCCGCGGUAAUACGUAGGUGGCAAGCGUUGUCCGGAUUUAUUGGGCGUAAAGCGAGCGCAGGCGGUUUCUUAAGUCUGAUGUGAAAGCCCCCGGCUCAACCGGGGAGGGUCAUUGGAAACUGGGAGACUUGAGUGCAGAAGAGGAGAGUGGAAUUCCAUGUGUAGCGGUGAAAUGCGUAGAUAUAUGGAGGAACACCAGUGGCGAAGGCGGCUCUCUGGUCUGUAACUGACGCUGAGGCUCGAAAGCGUGGGGAGCAAACAGGAUUAAUCGGGGGUGGUUCCAUACAAAAAAACAUAUUGGAAAGUGCCCGGGCGUA